GAUGAACGCUGGCGGCGUACCUAAUACAUGCAAGUCGAGCGAACAGACGAGGAGCUUGCUCCUUCGACGUUAGCGGCGGACGGGUGAGUAACACGUAGGUAACCUACCUAUAAGACUGGGAUAACUUCGGGAAACCGGAGCUAAUACCGGAUAAUAUUUCGAACCGCAUGGUUCGAUAGUGAAAGAUGGCUUUGCUAUCACUUAUAGAUGGACCUGCGCCGUAUUAGCUAGUUGGUAAGGUAACGGCCUACCAAGGCAACGAUACGUAGCCGACCUGAGAGGGUGAUCGGCCACACUGGAACUGAGACACGGUCCAGACUCCUACGGGAGGCAGCAGUAGGGAAUCUUCCGCAAUGGGCGAAAGCCUGACGGAGCAACGCCGCGUGAGUGAUGAAGGUCUUCGGAUCGUAAAACUCUGUUAUUAGGGAAGAACAAACGUGUAAGUAACUGUGCACGUCUUGACGGUACCUAAUCAGAAAGCCACGGCUAACUACGUG
This 497-nucleotide ribosomal RNA is filed under the name uncultured bacterium. Its description in RNAcentral is "partial 16S ribosomal RNA". It matches the Rfam family "Bacterial small subunit ribosomal RNA", at positions 28 to 507 of the family's 1533-position model. The record is from RNAcentral.